Molecule: long non-coding RNA, 1157 nt
Organism: Esox lucius (northern pike)
Lineage: Eukaryota; Metazoa; Chordata; Actinopteri; Esociformes; Esocidae
Source: Ensembl
GCCAUGGGUUCCUUUUGAAAGCCCUCAAUAUGUACAGGGGGGAGAUAUUUGCCUACCCUCUGUACCUUCAAAAGGAGCUCAUGCCAGCCAAGGCACAAUUCUUCGCAAUGGACGUGGCAUGCAAAUACUGGCCAUACCUGGAGAAAGUUGCUAGUGACCUUCCUGGAAUGUUGCUAGAGACCUUCCUGGUCUUCAGGAGCUAACCACUAUGAAACCCUUUCUCAGUAUAAUGCAUGCUCAAGCCCAUGCUACUAAGUGUGAGAUUAAUUGGAGUGGCAGGAACCAAGAAGGAGCAGGGACAGCCGCUGGUGAGGAGGUGGAGCAAGUUAACAGUUACCUUUCACGUUGUGCCCUGACGACCAAAUAUAUGUCCAAAGCAGCACGGGUGGACAUGCUUACAUUGCAUGCAAUGGGGUGGAACGAGAAAAAAAAUCUCUCUUUACAUCAGGCACUUUCCACACGAUAUGUGAAGACUUGUCAGAGACUCCAUGAUGAGACUGCAAGGCUAGCUGACCUAAAAACAGAGCUAGAUUGCCCAGAUGAAGUGGUGUCACAGUGGCUAUCUGAUGUAAAGGAAUGGGCAGCUGGUGAGACACCUGAUACAUCUAGUGCCAGUCAAGGGACAACACACAGAGGAAUUCAGCAAUCAAUUGAGGGACUCUACCUUAGUGUGAGGCACCGGAAGCGAACCCUCUACCGUCAGAAUUUCUGUAGGAUUUAGUGGUAUCUAUCAGUGAGAUUUGACGAUUGCAACCAGCUUCCCUCACCUCACAUCUUUCCAAGCUACGGUAGCCGACGAGAAAAUGUGUGAGACAGCAGCAAGUUUCGCCAUCGCCUUCGAAGGAAGCUUGCAGAAGACAAAAAACUCCUUCUUCAGGAGAUACAGAAAUACAAUAAUCUUGUACUAGAAUCGGCAACAACCAUUGACGUAGCUUUGGUGAAGCAUUCCCUAACUGGAGAGAGUACUGUGUCUCAAAUAUGGCCGUGGGAGGUUCAUGGCAAUGCAAACAUUUCAAUCAAGAAACGACUGCACGACCAAGUGAUGUUAACAAGGCGACUGCAUGAGGAAACAAGAGUUUUGGUUUUCGAGAUGGCACAACACUGCACAUGGUUGCAGAGCCUGGCAAUGGUUCUCAAGAACAAGUUGGCUGAGGAGG